This 201-nucleotide long non-coding RNA is filed under the name Elaeis guineensis (African oil palm). RNAcentral's name for it is "long non-coding RNA (EGUI_LNC067730)". The record is from RNAcentral. Lineage: Eukaryota; Viridiplantae; Streptophyta; Magnoliopsida; Arecales; Arecaceae.
AAUAUAAAAUAUAAUGCACUUUAGAUCUGAAAAUAAAAACAUACAUCGAUCUCAUCGAUGCUGAAAUCCUAGAUCUAACUAUAUGAUCAAAAUAAAUUAGUAACAAUUACAAAAUUAAUUUUAUCUUAUUCUCCUCUAGUUCAACACUUGGAGAUGAUGUUCCUCAGGUUGCUCAUAGCCACACAAAGAUAUCUGGCCUCU